RNAcentral lists this long non-coding RNA (2693 nucleotides) under Sorghum bicolor (sorghum). RNAcentral describes it as "long non-coding RNA (SBIC_LNC018483)". Lineage: Eukaryota; Viridiplantae; Streptophyta; Magnoliopsida; Poales; Poaceae. The record is from RNAcentral.
AGAGGACCAGCUAUAGGUUGUGUCGGAGAGGAUGUAGGAUAUGUAUCGCUGGUGGAUGUAGGAUAUGUAUCGCUGGUGGAUGUAGGAUAUGUAUCGCUGGUGUUGAUGUCCUCAUCAGGGCUGAAACAAGGAACGAACUAGCACCACGUUAGUUAUAAAAGCGAGCUGAAUAAGCGUUCGACGAUGGUACUGUGCUGGUCCUAGGCUAGACCGUGCUAGAGACGCGAGCCUGGACACAAAGGAAAACCACAGCACACCCCCGAAAACAAGGUGGGACAAACCUAAAAUCAAUAUGAAAAACAGCCCCUUUUUUGAAUCUUUUCUCUUUUCUUUUUUUUCUUUUUUUUCUUUUUUUUUGGGCAACCUCAAAAACUGAUUAUAUGAACAAAAGAAUACAAAAGAGCAAUUCGCUCCACACACUUUUUUCGCUCCACACACACACUCUCUCUCUCUAGAGUAAGGCCGAACAAGUAGAGUUAUCUUUCUUUUUGAACUCAGAUUGGAACUCUACUCGAUCCGGACCAAGACCACAGUUCAAUUCAGACUUCGCAACAGAUUCGACAGAGAGAAGAUAUGGUAAUACUCGGCUGUGUAUAGAUGGUGACAAGAACUCGAAACUCUAAAGGACUAGACACUAAGACCAGCAACUCGACACAAACCAAAGCAACGCAAAUUCAACAAGCCCUAACUAAAACGGUACUAGCCAAGGCACAAAGGUUUAAUAGGAUUAUGGAAAAACUAAUCUACUAUAUUUUUUUGGCUUUUCUGGACUAUAGGAAAUUAAUUAAAAACAGCAAAGGAUUAGAAGUCUCUCACCGAAGAACCUUGCUCUGAUACCAACUGAUGCGAGCCCGCUAGGGUUUUUGGCCUGAUCUUUCGAUGAGAGGCGCUGGAUAACUCGAUUAAUGGAUGGAGAUGACGUUCACGGCCCGACUACAGCCCUCAAGACCGCGCCUUAGCAACCGAUACACCACGUCCAACAGCCGUCACGAUCUUGUGGAGCGCGACAACCAGCCCCUAGGGCUCCCGUCCUGCAAGCAAUCGAAGGACUAGCAAGAACGAGGAAACAAGCACUGAGUUUGCAAGAUGAAUUGAAGGUUUUAAACUGAAUCUUAAUCAACAAUGGGGUUCCGAAGACAAGGAGGCGGGCGGCUGAUCCUGCACGUGCGCCUACAAGCAAGUAGCGAAGGCUAAACUUGAUCUAAACAAAACCCAGUUGUUCAUGGCGGCUCUAGAUGUAAAUAAAUAGAGGGGAGGACGACCAAAGGGGUGCUAGAGUCGUCCUCCAACCCUAGGACGCGUCCCUAAUGGACUCAACUUGAUACAUGGGCCAUUGGUCCAUAAUAGGGUGACGCAGCACCAAAACAGAAAAAGGUGUCGGCACGAAAACAAGGACUGCGCCCGACUCAUAAGCCGCAUAGAUAUGUGGUUGGACCCAUUGGAAAGUAGACUUCAUGAGCUUUCCAACAAGUAUAGGAACGUCCCAGUUGGAGUCCAUAUGACGCCGUGGUGAUCCAUACAAGUUAGAGUUAUUUUCCAGUCCGAAUCUAACUCCCAAAACGUGUUGGGUUUGGACUCUUUGUUUCCUUGCUUUAGAAACGACGUGGUAACUUGACAGAGGAUGUUGUGGAGGCUUGGACCUGAUCUCCAAUCACCUUUGUUAAGUUAUCACUCUUCCCAUAUGCAAUCAGCCCUUGAAGUUGGUGUUGCCUCAAAUUCUGAAUGCAGUUGAACCUUCCCUUGCUGAUCUUGUCCAUUAUUCCUGAGCAACACCAAAGUGCACGUGUCUCCAUUGUCUAAAUAUGAUUGACAAGAGUUUAAUGCUGAACUUACUUGAAGGUUGAGUUGACGGGCACGAGCACGAGUAAGAGGACCAGCUAUAGGUUGUGUCGGAGAGGAUGUAGGAUAUGUAUCGCUGGUGGAUGUAGGAUAUGUAUCGCUGGUGGAUGUAGGAUAUGUAUCGCUGGUGUUGAUGUCCUCAUCAGGGCUGAAACAAGGAACGAACUAGCACCACGUUAGUUAUAAAAGCGAGCUGAAUAAGCGUUCGACGAUGGUACUGUGCUGGUCCUAGGCUAGACCGUGCUAGAGACGCGAGCCUGGACACAAAGGAAAACCACAGCACACCCCCGAAAACAAGGUGGGACAAACCUAAAAUCAAUAUGAAAAACAGCCCCUUUUUUUGAAUCUUUUCUCUUUUCUUUUUUUUUUCUUUUUUUUCUUUUUUUUGGGCAACCUCAAAAACUGAUUAUAUGAACAAAAGAAUACAAAAGAGCAAUUCGCUCCACACACUUUUUUCGCUCCACACACACACUCUCUCUCUCUAGAGUAAGGCCGAACAAGUAGAGUUAUCUUUCUUUUUGAACUCAGAUUGGAACUCUACUCGAUCCGGACCAAGACCACAGUUCAAUUCAGACUUCGCAACAGAUUCGACAGAGAGAAGAUAUGGUAAUACUCGGCUGUGUAUAGAUGGUGACAAGAACUCGAAACUCUAAAGGACUAGACACUAAGACCAGCAACUCGACACAAACCGAAGCAACGCAAAUUCAACAAGCCCUAACUAAAACGGUACUAGCCAAGGCACAAAGGUUUAAUAGGAUUAUGGAAAAACUAAUCUACUAUAUUUUUUUGGCUUUUCUGGACUAUAGGAAAUUAAUUAAAAACAGCAAAGGAUUAGAAGUCUCUCACCGAAGAAC